RNAcentral lists this ribosomal RNA (420 nucleotides) under uncultured bacterium. RNAcentral's name for it is "bacterial SSU rRNA". It matches the Rfam family "Bacterial small subunit ribosomal RNA", at positions 356 to 773 of the family's 1533-position model. The record is from RNAcentral.
GAGGAAUAUUGGUCAAUGGGCGGAAGCCUGAACCAGCCAUGCCGCGUGCAGGAUGACGGCCCUACGGGUUGUAAACUGCUUUUCCCCGGGAAGAAUAAGCCCCUCGUGAGGGGUGAUGCCGGUACCGGGGGAAUAAGGAUCGGCUAACUCCGUGCCAGCAGCCGCGGUAAUACGGAGGAUCCGAGCGUUAUCCGGAUUUACUGGGUUUAAAGGGUGCGUAGGCGGGCGCCUAAGUCAGCGGUGGAAUGCAGCGGCUCAACCGUUGAACUGCCGUUGAAACUGGGCGCCUUGGAUGCGGUCGAGGCCGGCGGAAUGCGUGGUGUAGCGGUGAAAUGCUUAGAUAUCACGCAGAACGCCAAUUGCGAAGGCAGCUGGCCGGGCCGCAAUCGACGCUGAGGCACGAAAGCGUGGGGAUCAAAC